CAGGGAUCUUACAUAGCUUUCCCAGGAGCUAUGGCAUCAUUGGUAUUCAUGAGCAACCACUGUGACAGUUUAGUAAACAAACACAUUGAUAAAUCCAUCUUUCCUGUCAUAUGUGACAAAAAUUCUUCAGAGGCUUUAUUUAUGCAAUUUAGAUCUCCAGGCUUAAAGUAUGUGGUAAUUUUAUUUCACAAAAGCCCCAGGCAGCAAAGUAUUUAUUUUACACUCCUGGACCUCAUCAGGGAUAUGGCAUAACCUGUUCUUGUGUUUAUCUUUUUGCAAAUCAGCGACCUAAUAUGGAGAUGCCACCUGCUUCAUGGUGGGGAGGAAGGCUGGGAAAGCAGGAGGAGAAAGGUGGAGGAUUAAUUAGUUAAUAUCUAUGAAGUACUUUGCAGAUGGAGAGUGAUAUGCAAGUGUGAAUUUUAAUUAUGGUUCCCUGCCCUCCUUGGCAGAUACAAAUAGGAUAAUUUCUUGGAACAAGAAGCAGAGGUCUAACUUAAUCAUGUAGACACUUUGAUUUUGGAGAGUGAAAUUCUUUGUGGGUUUUGUGAUGAUGGAAAUAUCUAUCCCCUCACUCCGCCCUUCUAUGGAAGAGAUGAGGAAAGAUGUUGGGGACCCAUAAUUGUAUUAUUCAUGUCAGCAGAAGUGGACAGCACCAGGGAAGCUAUUUUAUUGUCCUCUUAUGAAAUCAUCCAGUUUAUGGCUGUCACUGGAUUCUGCUGCCAUCACACUGUUCUUUUCUCCUGGAUGCAUAGGUACGUUUUCCCUUUCAAAGAACAGUCCACCUAUGGAGAAGCAUCAGAACCUGAAAUUCACCCUUAGGUAUAUAACUAACAGAAAUACCUACAUAUUUCCACCAUACGUCUAUUCACUAGAAUGUUCAUGGCAUCAUUAUAAGAGCCUUACACUGGAAACUGUCCAAAUUCCCAUCAAGAGUUGGAAUGAUAAAUAAAUUGCAGUCUAUUCACAUAGCAGUGAGAAUGAAUGAUCUAUAACUCAAUUCAGUGAAAAACAUACCACUAACAUAAAAAAAAGGAAAGAAAUCAAUGCAAAAGAAUACAUACUGUAUGGUUCUAUUUAUGUAAAGAACAAAAAAGCAAAGAGAACUUUGCUGUUCCAUGCUGUUACUUAUUAGUCAAGAUAGUGAUUACCCUUGGGGGGAUAGGUAGUGAUUGGUAGGAAUCACAAAGGGGUGCUUCUGAGCUUCUGACUAUGUUCUGUUUCUGGAUCUGGGUGUUGUUGCACAGGGGUCUUCAUGUCACGAAAACUCAUUGAGCUGUAAGCUCAAGUACUUUUUAAUAACAAAUUUCAAUGAAAAAUUUUUAAAAGAAUAAUACUAAUUAAUACAUCAGUAUUAGGUCAUUUGGAUUUCAAGGUGACAAGUGUCCCUUAUUUCUGGUCUAAAGCUUGCUGAAUAUAGCCAAGCAUUUGCUAGAUGUGUCUGGCAAAAAUGAUAUAAACUGGGAGACUUUUUUGUGAAGUUAGAGGAGCAUUCCAAAAAACCCAAGUCAGAGGAUAAAUAACACGCCCCCACUUUUUCCACCCGUGAGUUAGCAAUCCAACGAUGUAAUUGAACAAGUCAUCCUCAGAUUUUUCCUUGGCAACUUACUGUCCACACAUGGUAGAUGGAGAGCCACCCCAGGUAAAAGGACUACAGAAUCUUUUUCCCACAUGGAGAAGACACUGAGAAUGACCCUUAGAGGUUAAAGUUGGCAACUGCAUAGCAAAACAUAAUGCAACUCUCACCUAAAUAUAUGGCAUUCAUUCUCAGAAGACAACUAGCAUUGGAAAACUUUGUCUCCAUGUAACUUACUUUCUGAUACAAGCCUCUCUCUGAAGUGUCACAUGCUAAUAAAACUGCAACAUGACUUACUAGCAGCCUUGAAGGGCUUGAGAGAAACACGUAGUGAGCUCAAUGUGAAUUUAAUUGAAGGGGGUAGGUGGGUGGUGCUGGGUUAUGAAUUCCUUGUAAAAGCUGAAGUCCAGUAAAUGAAUUGGUGUAUCUAAUUUGGUUGUUUUGCUAGUAUAUACAAUAUAAUUUCCAAACUCCAGCAGUUAAGAGCAAUAGGCAGAGUCAGUUUUUGUAAAUGAGAAAUACAAGAAUAUAUUCAGGUGUUGUUUUGUCACAUUUACUAAAUCAAAACUCCAUCCUGGGUAUUUAUCAAGUGAAGAGACCUGCCCUUGUAUAAUUAGUCACAUCUGAGCACACAUGUUAAUGUAUCGCUCAAUCGAUAUUUAAUUUUUUUUUAAUUUUAAUGGGUCUCUCUUUUUUUUUUCUUUUUAUGGCUGCAUCUGCGGCAUAUGGGAUUCUUCAAAUACUUGAAGUUUUCAGACUUCAGGUCCUGUUCUAGACUUGUGUGAUGCAGUAAUAAACAGAGCAGACUAAAAUCUCUGCCUUUUUGAAGCAUACAUUCCAAUCAGGUGAGAUAUACAACCUAAUAAACAAGCAGAUAGCAUGUUAGGAGGUGACAAAUUCUGCAGGAAGAUACACAGCAGGGAAAGGGGUCUAGAGAAUAGGAUUAUGGUGGGAAGUGGGGCAGGGUGCAAUUUUUAAUAGAUUGGUCCAGAUCUCAGGUCUCACUGAAAAGGUGGGAUUCAUCCUUAAUGGACCUUAAUGAGGUGAGACUCUCAUUUAGAUUGAUGGGGUAAAUCAGGCAGCAUCAGGCAAGACUAUCUGAAGAAAUGGUUUGAUCUUCUAUAUAAACAAGUAAUUGUUUAUAUCUUAAAAGUUAUAUACUGUAAUGCCAGGACGACAUGGGUUUGUGUGAUCUUUAAAGUAGGUGUUACCAAUUGCCCACCAUGACCAUAAAAAUGUCUCAAUAGAGCUUCUUGGUAACCAAGCAAAUUGACUUGCUUCUUGGGGUUAUCAAACUGAACCACCUACAUUUAAAGGACGUUGGCCAAAAAAUAAUACUCUCCUUUUCGGAGUAGUUGAUAAUUAUGCCAUUGUUUCCAAUAAUAGUCAGCGAGCAGGGCAAAUUGUCUUUUAGAUCUCUUCCAGUUCUGAACAAUCAGAUCAAAUCAUCUAUGAAGAAGAAAUUUCCCUUCUAUUCUCAGUGGCCUAAAUGGCAAUCAUCCACUAACAUUCACAUCAUUAACUUGUGAUUUUAAAAAUAAGGAGGGGUAUCCAACACUACUUUAAGGUCACAAUCCACCCUGUCCCUAUAUUACUGACCACACUACUUUGUCCUUCAUUUUGCCUGAUGCUUCAGUCUAAUGAGGCUGCUUCUAGUCAACUAUACUUUAAUAAUAAAAAAAGAGUUAAAAAAAGAAAAAAAAAAGGAAGUAAUAAUUUAGGGUACUACAGAAGUAAAAAAUAAAGAGGCUGCUUAUAUUUUUUUCAUAAUCUUACAGGUUUUCCCACUAUUCCUUUGUUCCAGCCAUCCCACAUGCCAGAGAGAUCCUCUUCUUUCCUAAGUACCAUCCUUAUUUUAAAGCUUGUGACAAUUUUCCUCUUUGUGAGGCUGUCUCUGAACUCUCACCCUCCCAGUCAUCCCUUUUCUUUGCCUCCUGAAGCAUUUCUAUAGUGUCUGCAUUUUUCCUUGGCACCAGACACAGACUGCCUUGUACAGUUAAUUAUGUUUUAUGUCUGUGUCCUAUUUCCCUGGUGAUACUAUAAGAUACUCAAGGGCUUUGUGUUUCUGGGUCUUCGCCUGGUUUCCUUCAUCUGUUAGGUACUUAAUAAAGGCUGGGUGUAACUGAUAGUAAUGAUAAUGGCAGUCGUGGGCAUAACCAGUUUUCAGGUGGGAAUCCUAGUCCUGGUCUCUGAACUGAAACACUGAGAGGUUCUAGUUGUCCAUUCUUGUCACCAAGGUCCCCCAUGCAAAGGCAAUGACAGUUACACUAUGACUGCAGCCUGGCUGGCAGCACUGACAAAAUAUCAUUGGUAUUAAGUCAGUGAGCAUUACCAGAGAUGUGAGUGUGAGAAAUGCGCUCCCUAAAUCAGAUAAAUUAAGUGUAGGAGAAGAAAAUGAGGGAAAAUAACAAAUACUCACUUAUGGUCAUGAAACUCACACAAGUGAAAGCACUAAGUACCACCAUGGGCGCCUACUGUGUGCCAGGUCCUGGACGAGGUAUUUCACACACAGUACCUCUAACCCUCACACCAGCCCCGCAAGGUAGGAUCCAUACUUCUGUUCAUAAGAGAGGAGGAAAAGUGCAGAGAGGUUAACUGACUGCACUCAAGAUCAUGCAGCCAGUAGGAGGCAUGUCAAGCUUUUCAUCUCAGGUUUGUGGUGCUCUCUUCCAUUUUGUUUUUGUUUGUCUGUCUGUUUUUUAAUUGUUAUUUCCCCAAUAUGAUUUUUUUUUCUACUGUACAGCAUGGUGACCCAGUUACACAUCAUUAAUAAGUCCUCAAAUAACAAAUGCUGGAGAAGGUGUGGAGAAAAGGGAACCCUCCUGCACUGUUGGCGGGAAUGGAAGCUGGUACAACCACUAUGGAGAACAGUAUGGAGGUACCUUAGAAAACUAUGCAUAGAACUACCCAGCAAUUCCACUCUUCAGCAUAUACCUGGACAAAAGCUUUCCUUUCUUCCGUUGCACAAAAUGAUGAAUCCAUGUAUCAUGAUCUUCUUGAUGAAGUCUUAUUCAUGGGCAAACUGAGGAGCACAGAGUUUUAUAACAUGCCCAAGUUCACACAGGAGAGAAACCUUGAUUCAAACUGAAUUCUGGUGAACUCCAAGGCCUUCCUUCUUUCCAUUGCCAAAAACUGAAGACAGAGGAAACUUAUGAAGAGAGAAGCAAUGUUGAUGGCCACCAAGUUCUUCUGUCUACUUCCCCUGAGCCUUCAUGCCAUAUAACUGUCUUAGAACUGAAGCCUUGCUCUCAGCCCUUUAUGGGAAUUUGCCAGACAUUCUGAGGAAAUGAUGUCUGACCUUGAGGAUGUAACUUCUUGUAUUUAAAAAUCAAAGAAAAUGCUCUAUAUAUCAAAACCUAAAUAAUGAUGGCAAAAGUCAAUAUCUUAUAUAAUGAAGGCAAAAAACAUUAUACACUAAAGCUAAAAUUUAGAAGUUAACAUCAAAUUCCUAUAAUAUUCUUUCAAAAAAGAUCCAUGGCUCUAGAAGAGACCAAAAGGUUUUUCAUUCUUAAAAUAAAAGCAAGACCAGGCACAGACACUUUAGAAACAAGUUUUUAUGACAAGAGCUAGCAAAAUGUACCUGUCCUAUGACCUAGAAUCUCUGCCCUCAGGAACUUAUCCUUUUUAAAAGUUUUAUUGAAGUAUAGUUAAUUUACAAGGCUGUGAUAAUUUCUGCUGUACAACAAAGUGACCAAUCAUACAUAUACAUAUAUCCAUUCUCUCUCAGAUUCUGGGAUUGCAUAAGCUCACUGAAGUAUAUGGAAUGAUUGGCCAACGGGGAUCUGCUGUAUAGAACAGAGAACUCUAACCAGUAUUCUACGAUAAUCUAUGCGCGAAAAGAAUCUGAAUCAGGACCUUAUCCUUUGGAGCAAUGUGACAAGUAUACACAGCUAUCUGUAUAUAUUCCAUAUGGUGGUGUUUGGCUACAAAAAAGCUGGAAACAAUAUAAAACCUGUAAUAGAGGAUAAAUUAAAUAAAUUAGGAACUUACAUACAGUGGAAUAAUUUGCAGUAGUUAAAACAAAGGCGGUAG
Molecule: long non-coding RNA, 5605 nt
Filed under: Sus scrofa (pig)
Lineage: Eukaryota; Metazoa; Chordata; Mammalia; Artiodactyla; Suidae
Description: lncRNA (ENSSSCG00015041397.1)
Source: RNAcentral